UGUGACAUACCAAUUGUUGCCUCGGCGGAUCAGCCCGCUCCCGGUAAAACGUUGACGGCCCGCCAGAGGACCCCUAAACUCUGUUUCUAUAUGUAACUUCUGAGUAAAACCAUAAAUAAAUCAAAACUUUCAACAACGGAUCUCUUGGUUCUGGCAUCGAUGAAGAACGCAGCAAAAUGCGAUAAGUAAUGUGAAUUGCAGAAUUCAGUGAAUCAUCGAAUCUUUGAACGCACAUUGCGCCCGCCAGUAUUCUGGCGGGCAUGCCUGUUCGAGCGUCAUUUCAACCCUCAAGCCCAGCUUGGUGUUGGGACUCGCGAGUCAAAUCGCGUUCCCCAAAUCGAUUGGCGGUCACGUCGAGCUUCCAUAGCGUAGUAGUAAAACCCUCGUUACUGGUAAUCGUCGCGGCCACGCCGUUAAACCCCAACUUCUGAAUGUUGACCUCGGAUCAGGUAGGAAUACCCGCUGAACUUAAGCAUAUCAAUAAGCGGAGGAA
RNAcentral lists this ribosomal RNA (493 nucleotides) under Fusarium sp. XAE_171. RNAcentral describes it as "eukaryotic LSU rRNA". The stretch from base 125 to 278 matches the Rfam family "5.8S ribosomal RNA". The record is from RNAcentral. Lineage: Eukaryota; Fungi; Ascomycota; Sordariomycetes; Hypocreales; Nectriaceae.